RNAcentral lists this ribosomal RNA (392 nucleotides) under uncultured bacterium. RNAcentral describes it as "partial 16S ribosomal RNA". It matches the Rfam family "Bacterial small subunit ribosomal RNA", at positions 523 to 918 of the family's 1533-position model. The record is from RNAcentral.
AUACGUAGGGGGCGAGCGUUGUCCGGAAUUAUUGGGCGUAAAGGGUACGUAGGCGGUUUUUUAAGUCUGGUGUGAAAUUGGUGGGCUCAACCCACCCAAGCAUUGGAAACUGGAAAACUUGAGUCAUGGAGAGGAAAGUGGAAUUCCUAGUGUAGCGGUGAAAUGCGUAGAUAUUAGGAGGAAUACCGGUGGCGAAGGCGACUUUCUGGACAUGUACUGACGCUGAGGUACGAAGGCGUGGGGAGCAAACAGGAUUAGAUACCCUGGUAGUCCACGCCGUAAACGAUGAGUGCUAGGUGUUGGGGGUCAAACCUCGGUGCCGCAGUUAACACAUUAAGCACUCCGCCUGGGGAGUACGUGCGCAAGCAUGAAACUCAAAGGAAUUGACGGGG